CAGCCGCCGCUGUAAUACGUAGGGGGCGAGCGUUACCCGGAUUCACUGGGCGUAAAGGGGGUGUAGGCGGCUCGGUAAGUCGGGUGUGAAAUCCCACGGCUCAACCGUGGAAUUGCGCCCGAAACUGCCGAGCUUGGGGCCGGUAGAGGGAGACGGAACUGCCGGUGUAGGGGUGAAAUCCGUAGAUAUCGGCAGGAACGCCGGUGGGGAAGCCGGUCUCCUGGGCCGCGCCCGACGCUGAGGCCCGAAAGCUAGGGGAGCAAACCGGAUUAGAUACCCGGGUAGUCCUAGCCGUAAACGAUGCCCACUAGGUGUGGGGGAGUAUUUCCUCCGUGCUGUAGCUAACGCGUUAAGUGGGCCGCCUGGGGAGUACGCCCGCAAGGGUGAAACUUAAAGGAAUUGGCGGG
RNAcentral lists this ribosomal RNA (407 nucleotides) under uncultured microorganism. RNAcentral describes it as "bacterial SSU rRNA". It matches the Rfam family "Bacterial small subunit ribosomal RNA", at positions 509 to 917 of the family's 1533-position model. The record is from RNAcentral.